This is a small nuclear RNA of Suncus etruscus (white-toothed pygmy shrew), 106 nucleotides long. The record is from RefSeq and is a predicted model, not a curated record. Lineage: Eukaryota; Metazoa; Chordata; Mammalia; Eulipotyphla; Soricidae.
GUGCUUGCUUCGGCAUCAUAUAUACUAAAAUUGGAACCAUAAGAGAAGGUUAUUAUAGCCUCUGUGCAAAGAUGACACACAAAUUUGUGAAGCAUUCUAAAAAUAA